Molecule: ribosomal RNA, 500 nt
Filed under: uncultured Myrionecta
Lineage: Eukaryota; Ciliophora; Litostomatea; Cyclotrichida; Mesodiniidae
Description: SSU rRNA
Rfam family: Eukaryotic small subunit ribosomal RNA
Source: RNAcentral
UUGUUCAGACUAGCCAUGCACGUCUAGUACAAACUAAAUGAUGGUGAAACUGCAAAUGGCUCAUUACAACGGUUAUGAUGUACCCGGGAGUUCCGAUGGAUAUUUCCAGUAACACUAGAACUAAUACAUGUCCCUGCGUUUAUUAGUUUCGCACAGUCCGUCGCUGAGUCAUGGUAAACAGUUGAUCGACUCGACGUCCCGGAACAGUUUCCGCCCCAUCAGCUUCGAUGGUUGGGUAUUGGCCUACCAUUGCAACAACGGGUAACGAGGAAUUAGGGUUUGAUUUCGGAGAGGGAGCCUGAGAAACGGCUACCACAUCUACGGAUGGCAGCAGGCGCGCAAAUUACCCAAUGCAGACACUGUGAGGUAGUGACGAGAAAUAAUAAAGCGGGACUUCUGUUUCGCUAUUAUAAUGAGGAAUAACCAAAGGUCAUUCCGAUUAGCAACUGAUGGGAAAGUCUGGUGCCAGCAGCCGCGGUAAUACCAGCGUCAGUAGCAUA